UAUACAGUGGCGCCUGCGUGUUUGUUCCCCGAGUUUGCGGGAUAACGCGAGCAACUCGCGUGUUGAAGGCGAAAAGUGAAACGUGUUGCACGGUUAGAAACGCGUGCAUAAACGAGAAAUAGUUAUUGCGCAUGCUCAGCGUGCAGCGUGCGCUGCCGCGCAAAUAAAUGUUCUCAUGCGCAUGCCCAGCGUGCCAAACCGAGAAGGUUAAAUGCGCAUGCCCAGCGUGCAAAACCGAGCAGGUUAAAUGCGCAUGCUCAGCGUGCAAUGGAUUUAAGUGUUUUAAAAAGUAUAUGGAUUCAUCGUCUUACGGUUCUAGUUUGAAAGAUGAUAUUUCUUUCAAAUUUUAUUUUUGAUUUGAAAUUUAACUUUUUGAUCAUUUCCGUAAAGAAUUUUUUGUAAAUAAGUAUACCCGGAAAGUAGUGUAGACAGGAUCUAGUAGAUGUUGUCUACAUCAUAAAAAGAGGGCAGUUCCACUGCAAUAUUAAAGCGGCGACACUGAGAUUCUAUAUCGCCAAGAAUUUGGAUUCGCCUUCCAUCAAUGUGUGUGCCAUUCCACAUCUGAGCACUGUAAGGUCUGGCAGCAAAAUAAAGAUAUAUUCAAAUGGAUCUUGUGUGACAUCAUACUAGAAAAGGGUCAUGUAAACGUAACAAAAAGUCAUGCGAAUGGACAUCAAAAUGUUGAAAAAGAUCGGUAUUUGAGACUUAAAUCUUCAGGAUAUAACUUCAUAAAACUGGCGGAUAAAUCAAACUGUGAAGUUCUUUCGAAUGGCGAGUAAAACAGUUGUGUCUCUUCGUAGGAACGAUGAUACAAUAUUUACGUAUGCAUCAAAUGAUGCUGUUCAAGGUAACAAGAAGAAGUUAACAUUUGGCAGUGUGAGAAAGGAAAGGAAAUUUACUUCUGCAUGACGGGAAAAUGAUGUUUGCAUGCAUGUUUUAUCGGAGGCAGCUGCAGAACCACAAACAGGAAACUCUUUUUGAUAUUAUGUUGUGAUAGACUGUUUGACGGUUUUCGGCCCGCUUUGGCGAGACGGUAUUACGAUAGUUUUAUACGAAAAUCUGCGAUAAAGUCUGGAAAUCUCGCUUGUGGAGAGAAGAAACUCGAUUAUGAUGUUCCCGCUAAGGAAAAAAAUCUCGCGUCGAACCAGAAGCUGUGUGAAUACAUCCCCGAGAAGAAAGUCACUGCGUCGGGCCAGCUGCAGUUUUUUACCAUCAUCUGAAGAUAGUAUCUUUCAGGAAUAAAGUCUUUUCGCUGGACCAGCUACUCUGCCUAACUGUGACCUCUUUUUCUCUGUCUCUCCUUCCGGUGGUGCUCAAACUCCGGAGCUCUCGAUCCAUAGGCGGACGCCCUACGACUGAGCUAUCAUGGCACACGAUUCCGUUAACAGUGCUGUGAUUGUGUCUAAUUGUAGAGCGAUGUUUAAAAAUGUUAAAAUAAUUAUUUACGACGUUAAGUCAGCAACGGCCGCAUACUAGCGUUUUUAUAAAGCUAAGCUUGUUUACAUUAAAUUCAUUUACAAUUAAUGUGCGAAGCCACUGCUGCAGACGACAAUUUAUAUUGGAAGCGAGACAAGAACAGACGAAUACAAUACAUAUCACUUCGCGCUAAGGUAACCACAGAGACAGUUUGCUGAGGUAUUGACUCACUAAAUACUCUAUAUGAAAUCGGGGGACUUUGAGCUGCUGAAGCGCGCACUGAACAAUGCACACACCUCGGGCCAUUUGAAAGGUCUGUGACUUAGUUAUUUUUUCUUGAGGAAUGUUGUCAGUGCAGUAUACAAAUUGAAAGAAUGACUUAUUUUCCGUGACAAGUUCUGUUGUUUUUUUACGACGAAAAUGCUACCAACAUAUCAAGGAUAUCUGUUGAAUAAUUUGAGCCAAAAAGAAUGCAUCACAAGAAAGGAAUGUAUUUCUACAGAGACAAAACUGCGAACUAUUAGAAACCGUUAUUUUCUGUCAUUUUUUUCGCGCCAUUUUCCUAUUUGUUGAUAUCUGUAUACCUACUGAAUUGUAAUUUUGCACUUUUGAAACAAAUAUUUUUAAAAUGCAGAAUUUAAUUGAAUCCUGAUUUUUGAAAACAAAGGACAUUCAGCUAUUAAAAUGAUAAGAUCUCGUA
Molecule: long non-coding RNA, 2116 nt
Organism: Mercenaria mercenaria
Lineage: Eukaryota; Metazoa; Mollusca; Bivalvia; Venerida; Veneridae
Exons: 3
Source: RefSeq, a predicted model, not a curated record